UAGAAUAUAGCAUUUAAUAUUGUGUUUAUUUUGACAUUUAAUCAAAUCAAGCUUUUUUAUACAGAACAUUUCAGACAUGGACUGCAAUGCAAUGUGCAUUACAGAACUCACAGGCAGCCAGUACAGAGACCUUAAAACCUAUGAAAUGUGUGCUCUCCGUCUGAUCUUGGUCAGUACCCGUGCUGCAGCAUUCUGUAUGUUCUGCAGUUGACCAAUGGCUUUCUUGGGUAGACCAGACAGGAGAGCAAUACAGUAGUCAAACCUGAAUGUAAUAAAAGCAUGGAUGAGUCUCUCUGUAUCAGCCUGAGAGAGAAACAUCCACACCUCAAAAUGUUCCUGGUAAAAAGCAAUUUUGGUCGCAUUCCUAAUGUGUGAUUCGAAAUUUACUUCAGAAUGUAAAAAUAACACUUAGGUUUAUUUACCUGGUGUUUUAUCUUUAUUGCCUGUGAAUUAAAAUAUGCUGCUAGAUUCUCACGCUGUACUUUGGCUCCAACAAUAAGUACCUAGGUUUUUGUCUUGAUUUAGCUGGAGGAAGUUAUUUAACUCACUAAAACAGUCUAAUAAUGUAUCCGUGGAGCUAGAAUCCUCUGGUGACACAGAAAUGUGAGGCUGUGUAUCAUCUGCGUAGCAGUGACAAUCAAUGCUGUGCUUUAAUAUAGGGUUUAUUAUGGCAUUUAAUAUAGGGUUUAUUAUGGCAUUUAAUAUAGGGUUUAUUAUGGCAUUUAAUAUAGGGGUUUAUUAUGGCAUUUAAUAUAGGGUUUAUUAUGGCAUUUAAUAUAGGGUUUAUUAUGGCAUUUAAUAUAGGGUUUAUUAUGGCAUUUAAUAUAUGGUUUAUUAUGGCAUUUAAUAUAGGGUUUAUCUCAUUUCAUAUUUACAGUACAUAGUUUAUUUGAAAAAGAAACACCAAGAGUGAAGAGGACAGAGAAUUUCAGCUACUUUCCAACAGUACAAACACAUAAAAACAACUGAACAAUACUUUCACACACAGAAAAACAGCCAGUAUUGUCACUUACAGCAUAAAAUAUAAGUGGUAUAAAAGUAUUAAAACAGAUUGUUCUCCUUUUGGCAAUCUGUCUUCAUCAUUAUCAAGCAUUUUAUCUAAACCAAUCCCUUGUCUUGCCAAUCUCUUACUGCUUAAUGAUGACUAACUUCACUGUACCUAACACCCAGGCAACCAAGUAUCAACAUAUGGACUCCAACAAUUAACGGUUUAAAAUCACUACUUUGAUAUUUGUACUCAAAUAAGCAGGUCAUGUGGGUGGAAAGGGGAGAGGUGGGUGGAUAAUGUAUUUGUAUAAUGUCUGUAGUUUUUUUCUCUCACAAAAUAAACAUGAACACAGAUGUGAAACUUGUAUUAGUCCCUCGGGACAAGACCUAUAAAAAGUCAUUUUAUUUCCCUGAUUUCCAAUCAUCUCUUCCUGUGUUGUAAGCUUAACCAAUAUGGUUAAUAAUACAACAAAACGGACCCUGGACCAAAGUGUUACUAAUCUUUUGAUUUAGUCAUUCCAUGACACGCUUGUUUCACAGCAAGCUACAUAAUAAUAAUAAGCAGCAAUGAAAACAUUGAUCAUGUCAAAUUCUUCACAUUAUUCAGAUAAUUAAAUUCAUAUUUAAAUGGUGAAAUGACUGCUGUACAUGAAAGCGAAUUAUCAACCUGAAUUAUGAACAUGAUUCAAAUGGGUAACACCAGGAACAUGCGGUAGAUGUAUGUAACAAGAGUUUCCAUGAUGGCUGUUAACUAUAGUAGUCCUGUAUCAUCUGCUUCUCUUCUUAGAAAUGUGAAUGCACCUGUAGUUAGUCAACUCUAUAAUAUACAGGCUGCUUUAGGUCUACUUUAUUUCUUGGGAUUUCUCUGGACUUCAUUUACUGCGUUCGGCUCAUGUUCAGUCCAUUGACCAGUCAUUUCUCCCAUCAUGCUGUUCUCCACUUCUUUCACUUCCUGCCUCGUUGCAUAAUGGUCACAGAAUAUGGUUCAGACAUGACAUUACAAUUCAUUGCUCAAUGCUGCUCCACAUUGCUACUUUGAACACAGGCAUUAUUUUAAGUUUAAGUUUGUCUUGUUGCAAGUCACCAUCCCUCCAUUUUGUCGUCCGUCAUUUGAGGAGAGAUUGUUGUAUCAGAGGGAGAAGAUGCUCCACACACUCAGUGUUCAUACAUGUUCAACUGCUGGGUCACGCUUCUUUCCUCUGUGUCUCUCUGCUUCUUCCAGGGAAAACAAAACAUGAAUCAAUCACACACAAGGACUGAAACUGCUCUAUUCAAUCACUAUUUAGGUGCAUCAAUAUCAGAUUGAAUGUGCAAGUUCGGUAUGAGGUUUGUUAGAAUUACAAAUAAAAAAGACUAAUAAGACUAACACCUUUGCAGUUUGCGCUCUGAUUUGUGCCCAGAUGCUGGCAUUUUUUCUAGAUCCAAGCAGCAUUAACACUCUGACUGAUAUCACAGUGGUAUAAUAAGGACAAGGGCUCACCGUUGACGUUUCCCGCCGGUGACAUCUAGUCAGUAAGAAGAUCACCAGCAGGACUCCCGCAACAAGCAUCACAACCACACUGACAGACACACCUGCUGCUACUGCUACUUUAUCAGGACUCUCCAAUGGACUCUCUCUAAUGUAUACUGGA
Molecule: long non-coding RNA, 2618 nt
Organism: Oncorhynchus tshawytscha (Chinook salmon)
Lineage: Eukaryota; Metazoa; Chordata; Actinopteri; Salmoniformes; Salmonidae
Source: Ensembl